This 1620-nucleotide ribosomal RNA is filed under the name Gemmataceae bacterium. Its description in RNAcentral is "partial 23S ribosomal RNA". It matches the Rfam family "Bacterial large subunit ribosomal RNA", at positions 1 to 1699 of the family's 2925-position model. Lineage: Bacteria; Pseudomonadati; Planctomycetota; Planctomycetia; Gemmatales; Gemmataceae. The record is from RNAcentral.
GUCCAAAUUACUAAGGGCAUGUGGGGGAUGUCUUGGCACCAAAAGACGACGAAGGGCGCGGAAAACUGCGAUAAUCCCGGUGGAGCUGUUAAACAAGCGUUGAGACCGGGGUACCUGAAUGAGCAUACACUGAAUACAUAGGUGUAUGCGGCAAACUCGGAGAACUGAAACAUCUCAGUACCCGAAGGAAAAGAAAGAAAAAUCGAUUCCGUAAGUAGCGGCGAGCGAAAGCGGAACAGCCUAAACCAACUGGAAUUUCUAGUUGGGGUUGUAGGAUCAGACUUAAAGACUGAGUAUACCUAACCAAAGCGUCUGGAAUGUCGCACCAUAGACGGUGAAAGUCCCGUAGGUAAAAGGUAGAGACGGUUUGUCUGACACCUGAGUAGGGCCGGCCACGUGGAAUCCGGUUUGAAUCUGCGGGGACCAUCCCGCAAGGCUAAAUACUCUUUGGUGACCGAUAGCGAACUAGUAGCGCGAGCGAAAGAUGAGAAGAAACCCGAUAAGGGUAGGAUAGUGAACCUGAAACCACAUGCCUACAAGCGGUCGGAGCCCAGUGGCGCAAGCCCGGGUGACGGCGUGCCUUUUGCAUAAUGAUCCGGCGACUUACCGUCAUCAGCCAGGUUAAGCCGUUCUGCGGCGGAGCCGAAGCGAAAGCGAGUCUGAAUAGGGCGAAUGAGUUGGUGGCGGUAGACGCGAAACCACGUGAUCUACGCAUGGGCAGGAUGAAGUGAGGGUAACACCUCAUGGAGGUCCGAACUCACUAGUGUUGAAAAACUAGGGGAUGACCUGUGCGGAGGAUUGAAAGUAUCAUCAAACGUGGAGAUAGCUCGUUCUCUCCGAAAUAACUUUAGGGUUAACGUCGUGACAGAUGACAUUGGGGGUAGAGCGACUGAAUGCGCUGGGGGGCCUACCAGGCUACCCCUCGCAACCAAACUCCGAAUACCAAUGUACCUUAUCACGGCAGCUAGACGGUGGGGGAUAAGCUUCAUCGUCGAGAGGGGAACAACCCAGACCGCCCGCUAAGGUCCCUAAAUCAUGCUCAGUGCGAAAGGAAGUUGGAUUCCUGAGACAGCCAGGAUGUUGGCUUAGAAGCAGCCAUCAUUUAAAAAGUGCGUAAUAGCUUACUGGUCGAGGAGUCCUGCGCCGAUAAUGAACGGGACUAAGCAUGAUACCGAAGCGGCGGGUAUAGUAAUAUACGGUAGGAGAGCGUAGCACACUAGAUUGAAGGGGUACGGACAACGAGCCCUGGACGAAGUGCUAGUGAUCAUGCCGGAACGAGUAACGAUAAAACAGGUGAGAAUCCUGUUCGCCGAAAACCUAAGGUUUCCUGGGGAAGGUAAAUCCGCCCAGGGUUAGUCGGAACCUAAGAUGAGGCCGAAAGGCGUAGUCGAUGGACGGCAGGUUAAUAUUCCUGCACCGAUUUUGUAGACAAACUGAGUGACGCUGGCGAAGAUAAGAUCGGCCUGUUAGAUUAGGCCGUCCCGAAAGGGCGAGGGCGUUUACGAUCCCGAAGUCUUAAAAUUGACAGACAAGAAAAACCUCAGCGCGGACGAAACAAAACGCCCGUACUAAAACCGACACAGGUAGGUGAGAUGAAUAUUCUAAGGCGCUCGAGAGAAC